CCCUUAGACGUUCUGGGCCGCACGCGCGCUACACUGAACAGUUCAACAAGUCUUAACCUUGGCCGAUAGGUCUGGGUAAUCUUUGAACGCUGUUCGUGAUUGGGAUAGACCUUUGCAAUUAUGGGUCUUCAACGAGGAAUUCCUAGUAAACGCAAGCCAUCAGCUUGCAUUGAUUACGUCCCUGCCCUUUGUACACACCGCCCGUCGCACCUACCGAUUGAAUGGUCCGGUGAAAUCUCGGGACGGCGGCUCGGUCGCUUGCGUCCGACUGCUGAAACUUGAUUAAACCAUAUCAUUUAGAGGAAGGUGAANUCGUANCA
RNAcentral lists this ribosomal RNA (320 nucleotides) under uncultured eukaryote. RNAcentral's name for it is "partial 18S ribosomal RNA". It matches the Rfam family "Eukaryotic small subunit ribosomal RNA", at positions 1470 to 1796 of the family's 1831-position model. The record is from RNAcentral.